CGAUUAAAAAUGGAACAAAUUAGUAAUAUAAAAUUCGUACAAGAAGUGGAAAACCGCCCUGUUUUAUAAUUCUAAAAUAAAAGGGUACUCAAGAAGAGAUAUCACUGACAAAGCUUGGAGUGAAGUCGGCAAAGUAGUAGAUCUCACAGUGCGUGAGGGCAAGGAGAAAUGGAAGAAUCUUCGCUCUGUUUAUGUCCGGCAUAUAAAACCCUCUCCCAGUGGUUCAGGCACCAAAAAUAAAAAGCCAUAUUACUUGGCAGAAGUCAUGCAGUUUACACUUCCUUUCAUCAAAACGUUAUGUACACCAGCUGGAAAUUUACCCCCAAACCCCAGCCAACUGUCUACACUAGAUCCGGAACAAGAGUCGUCUGCAGAUGGCUUACCGGCUGAAGAAGAAAAUUCGGACUCUUUAUUACAGAAUCAAUCACAAACCGAAGAGCUGCUGUCACCAGCAACACCCACCCCUUCCAGCCAGUUACCCGAAAGUUCAUCACAAAGUACAGAAACUGGACAUUCUCAGGAAGUAUCAAGUGAUUCUACUAGGUCUCACCUACGUAUAACAACCCGAAAAGCUCAGAAACGGACAAUUCCAGACGGAGAUAAGGCGUUCGAGAACUAUCUAGAAGCUAAAACUAAAAGACUUCGCGAUACCUCAAAUGAAGGGGACAAAAAACCAGAAGAUGGGAAAAGAACAUUUUUACUGAGUAUCCUGCCUGAGAUUGAACCCAUGACGAACACUCAAAUGAAGGCAUUAAGGCGUAGAGUUUUGCAACUUAUUGAUGAUAUCAUCAGUCCGGCUCCAUAUGUACCUCUGAGUGUACAAACCUAUCAACAAACCCCAACCUACUCGCUUGUGAUUUCACCACAUUCAUCAAUAUCUACUGCUACCAAUAAUCAAGUUUCUGACAGUUGAUCACCCCAAAACGAAAUGCCAAACGAAACGGAUGUUGCCAAAAACGAUUAUUAUAACGUUGUUCGAGAAGCUUUAGGACAGUGCACUGGAUAUAAUAUUAUUAUAUCUUAUUAUUAUAUCUUGUAUUCUAAUAUAAUUUCUACUGUGUACAUAUUUUCACAUUUUCCAUAAAAAAAACCAAACAUAAUAAAGAAUAUUAAGAAGCAA
This is a long non-coding RNA of Anthonomus grandis grandis, 1120 nucleotides long. RefSeq lists it as uncharacterized. The transcript is spliced from 2 exons. NCBI's taxonomy places the organism in Eukaryota, Metazoa, Arthropoda, Insecta, Coleoptera, Curculionidae. The record is from RefSeq and is a predicted model, not a curated record.